RNAcentral lists this ribosomal RNA (1998 nucleotides) under human gut metagenome. RNAcentral describes it as "bacterial LSU rRNA". It matches the Rfam family "Bacterial large subunit ribosomal RNA", at positions 1 to 2027 of the family's 2925-position model. The record is from RNAcentral.
UUAAGCGACCAAGCGUACACGGUGGAUGCCCUGGCAGUCAGAGGCGAUGAAGGACGUGCUAAUCUGCGAAAAGCGCCGGCGAGGUGAUAUGAACCCUUGACCCGGCGAUGUCCGAAUGGGGAAACCCGGUGCACUACGGUGCAUCAUCACAGCAUGAAUACAUAGUGCUGUGAGGCGAACCGGGGGAACUGAAACAUCUAAGUACCCCGAGGAAAAGAAAUCAACCGAGAUUCCCCCAGUAGCGGCGAGCGAACGGGGAGGAGCCCAGAGCCUGAAUCAGCUUGUGUGUUAGUGGAAGCGUCUGGAAAGUCGCACGGUACAGGGUGAAAGUCCCGUACACGAAAAUGCACAGGCUGUGAGCUCGAUGAGUAGGGCGGGACACGUGGUAUCCUGUCUGAAUAUGGGGGGACCAUCCUCCAAGGCUAAAUACUCCUGACUGACCGAUAGUGAACCAGUACCGUGAGGGAAAGGCGAAAAGAACCCCGGCGAGGGGAGUGAAAAAGAACCUGAAACCGUGUACGUACAAGCAGUGGGAGCCUCUUAAUGGGGUGACUGCGUACCUUUUGUAUAAUGGGUCAGCGACUUAUAUUCUGUAGCAAGGUUAACCGAAUAGGGGAGCCGAAGGGAAACCGAGUCUUAACUGGGCGUUAAGUUGCAGGGUAUAGACCCGAAACCCGGUGAUCUAGCCAUGGGCAGGUUGAAGGUUGGGUAACACUAACUGGAGGACCGAACCGACUAAUGUUGAAAAAUUAGCGGAUGACUUGUGGCUGGGGGUGAAAGGCCAAUCAAACCGGGAGAUAGCUGGUUCUCCCCGAAAGCUAUUUAGGUAGCGCCUCGUGAAUUCAUCUCCGGGGGUAGAGCACUGUUUCGGCAAGGGGGUCAUCCCGACUUACCAACCCGAUGCAAACUGCGAAUACCGGAGAAUGUUAUCACGGGAGACACACGGCGGGUGCUAACGUCCGUCGUGAAGAGGGAAACAACCCAGACCGCCAGCUAAGGUCCCAAAGUCAUGGUUAAGUGGGAAACGAUGUGGGAAGGCCCAGACAGCCAGGAUGUUGGCUUAGAAGCAGCCAUCAUUUAAAGAAAGCGUAAUAGCUCACUGGUCGAGUCGGCCUGCGCGGAAGAUGUAACGGGGCUAAACCAUGCACCGAAGCUGCGGCAGCGACACUAUGUGUUGUUGGGUAGGGGAGCGUUCUGUAAGCCUGUGAAGGUGGCCUGUGAGGGUUGCUGGAGGUAUCAGAAGUGCGAAUGCUGACAUAAGUAACGAUAAAGCGGGUGAAAAGCCCGCUCGCCGGAAGACCAAGGGUUCCUGUCCAACGUUAAUCGGGGCAGGGUGAGUCGACCCCUAAGGCGAGGCCGAAAGGCGUAGUCGAUGGGAAACAGGUUAAUAUUCCUGUACUUGGUGUUACUGCGAAGGGGGGACGGAGAAGGCUAUGUUGGCCGGGCGACGGUUGUCCCGGUUUAAGCGUGUAGGCUGGUUUUCCAGGCAAAUCCGGAAAACCAAGGCUGAGGCGUGAUGACGAGGCACUACGGUGCUGAAGUGACAAAUGCCCUGCUUCCAGGAAAAGCCUCUAAGCAUCAGGUAACAUCAAAUCGUACCCCAAACCGACACAGGUGGUCAGGUAGAGAAUACCAAGGCGCUUGAGAGAACUCGGGUGAAGGAACUAGGCAAAAUGGUGCCGUAACUUCGGGAGAAGGCACGCUGAUAUGUAGGUGAAGCGACUUGCUCGUGGAGCUGAAAUCAGUCGAAGAUACCAGCUGGCUGCAACUGUUUAUUAAAAACACAGCACUGUGCAAACACGAAAGUGGACGUAUACGGUGUGACGCCUGCCCGGUGCCGGAAGGUUAAUUGAUGGGGUUAGCGGUAACGCGAAGCUCUUGAUCGAAGCCCCGGUAAACGGCGGCCGUAACUAUAACGGUCCUAAGGUAGCGAAAUUCCUUGUCGGGUAAGUUCCGACCUGCACGAAUGGCGUAAUGAUGGCCAGGCUGUCUCCACCC